This 371-nucleotide ribosomal RNA is filed under the name uncultured bacterium. RNAcentral describes it as "bacterial SSU rRNA". It matches the Rfam family "Bacterial small subunit ribosomal RNA", at positions 527 to 896 of the family's 1533-position model. The record is from RNAcentral.
GUAGGGGGCUAGCGUUGUCCGGAUUUAUUGGGCGUAAAGCGCGUGUAGGCGGCCAGGAAGGUCCGCUGUGAAAACUCGAGGCUCAACCUCGAGAUGUCGGCGGAAACCCUCUGGCUAGAGUCCGGAAGAGGAGAGUGGAAUUCCCGGUGUAGCGGUGAAAUGCGCAGAUAUCGGGAAGAACACCCGUGGCGAAGGCGGCUCUCUGGGACGGUACUGACGCUGAGACGCGAAAGCGUGGGGAGCGAACAGGAUUAGAUACCCUGGUAGUCCACGCCGUAAACGAUGGGUGCUAGGUGUGGGCGGUGUCGACUCCGUCCGUGCCGAAGCUAACGCAUUAAGCACCCCGCCUGGGGAGUACGGCCGCAAGGCUA